Populus trichocarpa (black cottonwood) is the source of this 2129-nucleotide RNA transcript. It is a transcript of the gene named protein ZINC INDUCED FACILITATOR 1, with no coding region annotated. NCBI's taxonomy places the organism in Eukaryota, Viridiplantae, Streptophyta, Magnoliopsida, Malpighiales, Salicaceae. The record is from RefSeq and is a predicted model, not a curated record. The transcript is spliced from 18 exons.
CUAACCCAACUCAUGCCCGGAAAAGUUUCUGAUGCCAUAAUUAAUAAAAGGAAAGCAUGAUGCUUUCUCUUACAAAAGUAACUAGUUUUCAAACACAAGAAAAGAAAAAAAAUCUGUAGUGAGUCAAGAUGGCUGAGAAUGGGAUUGGAGAAUCCUUGUUGAAGAAGAACAAGUACCAUGAGGAUUGCCCAGGUUGCAAGAUUGAACAUUUCAAAGAGACAAACACUGGUGUCCCUUUUAAACAUUUGCUCUAUGUCGGGAUUGUUGUCCUUUGUGCAGCUUUGCCUAUAUCGUCUCUCUUUCCUUUCCUAUAUUUCAUGAUAAGGGACUUCCACAUUGCAAAAAGAGAGGAGGACAUUGGCUACUAUGCUGGCUAUGUGGGAUCUGCUUUUAUGUUUGGAAGAGCUUUAACUUCUGUGCUGUGGGGAAUGAUUGCCGAUCGAUAUGGUCGAAAACCGGUUAUAAUGUUUGGCACAAUAUCAGUGGUUAUUUUCAAUACCCUUUUCGGCUUUAGUACAAACUUUUGGAUGGCAGUUUCUACCAGGUUUCUUCUUGGAAGUUUGUGUGGUAUUCUUGGUCCAAUGAGGGCAUAUGCUUCAGAAGUUUGCCGUAAAGAAUAUCAAGCUCUGGGAAUGUCCAUUAUCAGCACAUCAUGGGGUAUUGGAUUAGUCAUUGGUCCUGCUCUUGGAGGAUUUCUUGCUCAGCCCGCACAGAAAUAUCCAAACAUAUUUUCUACCGAUUCUCUUUUCGGAAGGUUUCCAUAUCUUUUACCUUGCCUUUUGAUAUCAAUCUUUUCUGUGGGAGUAAUUGCCGUUUGUUGCUUGCUUCCGGAGACACUGCACAGUCAUGUAGGAAAUGGCGAAGAGUGCAAUGAUUCUGUAGCGCUUGGGGCUGCCGCAUUCGAGUCUAACUCUCCUCGGAAAAGCCUACUGAAAAAUUGGCCCUUGAUAUCAUCUAUUAUUGUGUACUGUGUGUUCCAACUUCAUGAUAUGGCCUAUGCAGAGAUUUUCUCAUUAUGGGCUGUUAGUCCUAGGAAGAAUGGAGGAUUGAGCUUUUCCACUGCAGAUGUUGGUGAAGUUCUUGCAUUUUCAGGCCUUGGACUGCUACUCUUUCAGCUAUUUAUAUACCCACUGGUUGAGAGAAAUUUUGGACCUGUCAUGGUAUCUCGCAUAGGAGCAGUCUUGACCAUUCCAUUGCUAUCUAGUUACCCUUUUCUAGCUAUGCUGAAAGGCCUUGCCCUCAUGCUGCUGAUCAACUGCGCUUCCAUCCUGAAGAACGUACUCGCUGUAUCAAUCACAACAGGAUUGUUCCUUCUGCAAAAUAGAUCAGUGACACAACAACAAAGAGGUGCUGCAAAUGGAAUUUCGAUGUCUGCCAUGUCCCUUUUCAAAGCAAUUGGUCCAGCUGCUGGGGGUUCUCUCUUCUCUUGGGCACAAAAGCGUCAGGAUGCUUUCUUUUUUCCAGGUGAUCAAAUGAUCUUCUUCCUCCUUAACAUGAUCGAGGUCAUAGGACUGCUCUUGACCUUCAAACCAUUUCUAGCCCUUCCUGAUGACAACAUUUCCUAGUUCAAUUUCAAAGGUUCACAUCAACCAACAGAGGCUAAAAAACCAUGAAGAUUGAUUCCAAAUUCUUUCCCGUAGCUAGCCCAAUUCUUCAACUUCAGCCGACCCUCAAGUGUAUCACCUUAUGUAGGAUUUUUGUACCGUUCCCACCUGUAAUCAACCUGAAAACCACAGAAGAGGUGCCUUCAUGCAUAUUUUCUUCUGGCUUGAUAUAUGACAUCUGCUCUAGUUCCUUCUCUCAUUUUCAAACUUUGGUGGGCUUGUAAAAGAUCUGAAACUACUUCUAGUCUCACAUGAUUAUUAUCAUCCCUCUGGUUACAUAUGCCUGGACAAUGAACUGGCCUCGAGACAAACACCUACUGGAUAUCCUGUCCCAUUCAUAAUUACAAAAUGGAUUGAAGUUCUGCUUCACAUCUCUCACAAGGGCAGCUUGAACAAGAUGUAAUGUCUAGUGUGAUAUAGUGCUGCAACUUCUUGUAGGUUUUGAUUUAGUCCAUGCAGUAAAGUGUUUACAAAAUCAUCCCCAAAGUUUUUAAUUGAAGAAACAUUAAAUGUUAGCUCUGAUAA